UACUGAAUGAUGUCAGGGUUCUUCUGG
RNAcentral lists this non-coding RNA (27 nucleotides) under Homo sapiens (human). Lineage: Eukaryota; Metazoa; Chordata; Mammalia; Primates; Hominidae. The record is from RNAcentral.